RNAcentral lists this ribosomal RNA (468 nucleotides) under uncultured bacterium. Its description in RNAcentral is "bacterial SSU rRNA". It matches the Rfam family "Bacterial small subunit ribosomal RNA", at positions 28 to 507 of the family's 1533-position model. The record is from RNAcentral.
GAUGAACGCUAGCGGCAGGCUUAAUACAUGCAAGUCAAGGGGGUAGCAAUACUACCGGCGCACGGGUGAGUAACACGUACAUAACAUACCAUAUACUGGGGUAUAGCUUUGGGAAACUGAAGGUAAUCCCCCAUAACAUUGCGAGAGGGCAUCUGAUUGCAAUUAAAGUUUCGACGGUAUAUGAUUGAUGUGCGUUUGAUUAGCUUGUUGGUAGGGUAACGGCCUACCAAGGCGACGAUCAAUAGCUGGCGUGAGAGCGCGACCAGCCACACUGGAACUGAGACACGGUCCAGACUCCUACGGGAGGCAGCAGUAGGGAAUAUUGGACAAUGGGCGAAAGCCUGAUCCAGCCAUGCCGCGUGAUAGAUGAAGGCCCUCUGGGUUGUAAAUAUCUUUUAUCUGGGAAGAAACAAUCUUAUUCUUAAGAUCUUGACGGUACCAGAGGAAUAAGCACCGGCUAACUCCGUG